AUGGACAGCGACCCCUCCGCCUCCCUCCUCGCCAGGAGACACUGGGACACUCCCUGCCGGCUGCACUCUCCCUGCUUGCUCUGCCGCAUCAGGGGCUGGAGCGGGCCCUGCUUGUAUGGGCAAGGGGUGGUUGCUUCCCCGCCUGGGUGGGCCCCAAGGGCAGGGAAGUGUCAGGCACAGACCAGGCCGGUUGCUGCCUGGGCCUGGGUGGUCUCUGCUUUCCGUACCCCAAUGAUGGCCCUUUUCUGCUCAGCCUCUUGCUCCCAUCUGUUGUUGAGGACACAGAGGGCAGGGCCCCUUGAAUUCUGCAUCAAUAAAAGACAAAAAGGACAGCAGGGUCCACUCCAUCGUUGAUACUGACACAUUGAAUAUAUAUACUCGAAGAACGUAUUACAUGGGAAAAUUGACUACUCUAGGUUUUCCAUACCUGUAUAACCACCACCUGAGGAAGACUACACAGUUGAAACCGGUCGUGGAUGGUGACUAACCUUGGAUUUGUUUAAAACAUUGGAUUUUAAAAAAAGGAUUCACUUACUUGGACAUUUAGAUUUGGACUCACAAUUAGUGAUUUAUACAGUCCUCCAUGUGGAACAUGAACUCUGGUGGUCAUUGGACUCACACACUCUGAAUAUAGAGUUUUACUUUCUAUGAAUGUAUGUGUGUUGGUAACACAUGGAUUAUAUUUUGGUUUAGAGACGUGUUUUUUGAAGCAUUUAGUAUAUUUUGAAUCUUUAUCAUCCUUGGCUGCACAUUGAAUGAUCUAUGACAAUAGCAUAUAUAGAAAUUACUGUUUUAUAUAAAUGCUGUAAAUAAAUGCUGUAAAUAAAUAAAUAAAUAAAUAAAUUAUAGUUUAUAUUAUUGGAUUACAUUUCUAGUUAUAGUGGCAUCUUGUCUAUGCAUUUCAGGGAAUCCUUUCUUUGUAUUGUUUAAGGCAGGGGUCCCCAAACUAAGGCCCGGGGGCCGGAUGCGGCCCUCCAAGGUCAUUUACCUGGCCCCCGCCCUCAUUUAUAAUAUAAUAUUUUUAUAUCAGUUUUAAUAAUAUAAUAUAUUAUAUUAUAUAUACAUAUGAUGUUGAUAAUAUUAUGUUAUACAAUGUAAUACUAAUAAUAAUACCAUAUAAUAAUAUUAAUUACAUGUUAUAUAUUACAUAUAAUAUUACAGACUAUCUCAUUGGCCAGAAUCAGGCCCACACUUCCUAUUGAAAUCCUGAUAGGUUUACUAUGUUGGUUAAAAUUGUUUUCAUUUUUAAAUAUUUUAUUGUUCUUUCAUUGUUGUUGUUUUGCACUACAAAUAAGACAUGUGCAGUGUGCAUAGGGAUUUGUAUUUCUUUUUCAAAUGAUAAUUUGGCCCCUCAACAGUCUGAAGGAUUGUGGACCGGCCCCCUGCUUAAAAAGUUUGAGGACCCCUGGUUUAAGGAAUAUAGGCACAUAAAGGCAGUUGGGUUAUACUUUGGGUAGAUUAACCUAUAUCAGGCAUGGGCAAAUUUUGGCCCUCCAGGUAUUUGGGAUUUUAACUUCCACCAUUCCUAACAGCUAGUAGGCUGUUAGGAAUGGUGGGAGUUGAAGUCCCAAAUACCUGGAAGGCCAAAGUUUGCCCAUGCCUGACCUAUAUUCUCCCUGACAAACUAUUUCUUGUCCUAUUGGAGCCUCUCAUAUCCAAUUGAAGCCAGCGUGCCCUAAAUUCUGGGUUUAGGUUUGCCAGGAUAUCCUGCUUCCUUUUUGGACCCUCUUUUUGGCAUGUUUCGACUUCUGAGGCUGUGUUUAGAAGAGAAGAUAUACUUCCUAACUAUUCCACACAACCUUUUAACACAGCGAUUAGUAUAUUUUAGAAAUAAAACGUAUGGAUAUAGGAAAAUGUGGUUACAAUGAGUAAUCUGUUCUGGCUCCAGGAUUUCAUCUUUUUGGUUCCAAAAGGCUGUUUGUUCAGCAAUCAAGAUGUCUGGUUAUAUUUGGUAUCCGACUAUUUGGGGCACUGGAGAAUCCAUCAAGACAUGGCCUCAAUUCUCUUUCCUUCCCGUCUACCGUCCCGCCAGCACUUCAAUCCAUUGUCAAUUUCCCUUCUGCAUUCUGGUCCCGAUUUAGAGUGUUAGUAGGGUAGCAAAACUCAGGAGAUUCUUUGCAUUGCCAAGAUGCAGCCCCAGGAAAUACGAAAUAGGACAUUAAUCCUCUUUUUGUAAUAGUCCAUGCUACAGUCUGUCAGCACUUAUAACUAUAUUUCCUGGGCAUUGUCACUAUGGGCUUUUUGGGAUUUUUUUUCUAGGAUAUUCUCUAUCCAGAAAUGAACAUUUUAAUGGCUUCAACAACUUCAGAAGACUUUAAAAUUGGAUUGGAAAAUUCAUUGGGAGUUAGACUAUUAAUAACUACUAAUAAUAGUGGCUAGUUAUUAUUUAUGGGGCAGGAUAUCUCUGUGUAUUGAUAGCUGCUGGAGAAACAACAGCUUGAGAGGGAUAUGCCCACUGUGCUUUAAUUGUGAAUUUCCCUUUGAAGCAACUGGUUUAACUCUUUGCUGAGUUAAAUAGA
Molecule: long non-coding RNA, 2519 nt
Filed under: Anolis carolinensis (green anole)
Lineage: Eukaryota; Metazoa; Chordata; Lepidosauria; Squamata; Anolidae
Description: lncRNA (ENSACAG00000039137.1)
Source: RNAcentral